This 21-nucleotide small RNA is filed under the name Arabidopsis thaliana (thale cress). Its description in RNAcentral is "ATSL065070". Lineage: Eukaryota; Viridiplantae; Streptophyta; Magnoliopsida; Brassicales; Brassicaceae. The record is from RNAcentral.
GAAAAGAAGAAGAAGAAUCUG